This 800-nucleotide long non-coding RNA is filed under the name Malus domestica (apple). Its description in RNAcentral is "long non-coding RNA (MDOM_LNC009581)". Lineage: Eukaryota; Viridiplantae; Streptophyta; Magnoliopsida; Rosales; Rosaceae. The record is from RNAcentral.
GAACACCAAACCCCAAUGAGGAGGAUUAGAGAAGAGAUUUUUGCUAUUCGAUAGACGCAAAUAUUUAAGGCCAACCAGAUGUCCAAUUGAUGAAGGUAUUUCCUCGAUCGCACUACCACUUAAGGCAAUCGACUCCAAAUUCUUCUUCUGCUCCCCAAAUUCUAGAAUCUUUUUCAGAUUUUUGCAAUUAUCUAGAUGCAACUUCUGAAGGCCAACCAGAUGUCCAAAGGAUAAAGGUACUUCCUCGAUCGCACUACCAAUUAAGUCAAUGAACGCCAAAUUCUUCAUCUGCUCCCCAAAUUCUGGAAUCUUUUUCAGAUUUUUGCAAUUAUUUAGAUACAACUCCUUAAGGCCAACCAGAUGUCCAAUUGAUGAAGGUAUUUCCUCGAUCGCACUACCACUUAAGACAAUCGACUCCAAAUUCUUCAUCUGCUCCCCAAAUUCUGGAAUCUUUUCCAGAUUUUUGCAAUUAUCUAGAUGCAACUCAUAAAGGCUAACCAGAUGUCCAAUUGAUGAAGGUAUUUCCUCAAUCGCACUACCACUUAAGGCAAUCAACUCCAAAUUCUUCAUCUGCUCCCCAAAUUCUGGAAUCUUUUUCAGAUUUUUGCAAUUAUCUAGAUGCAACACCUUAAGGCCAACCAGAUGUCCAAUUGAUGAAGGUAUUUCCUCGAUCGCACUACCACUUAAGACAAUCAACUCCAAAUUCUUCAUCUGCUCCCCAAAUUCUGGAAUCUUUUUCAGAUUUUUGCAGUUAUCUAGAUGCAACACCUUAAGGCCAACCAGAUGUCCAAUUGAUUAAG